Molecule: RNA transcript, 1068 nt
Organism: Otolemur garnettii (small-eared galago)
Lineage: Eukaryota; Metazoa; Chordata; Mammalia; Primates; Galagidae
Gene name: protein DEK pseudogene
Exons: 2
Source: RefSeq, a predicted model, not a curated record
AGCCUCCUUGUUCCCUCCUGCGCCAGGCCCGCAGCAGCCGGGACCCGUGGUCCUCAAUAUGUCUUCCACAGCCCCAGUUGCGGAGGGAGAGGGCAGCACCGCCCAGCCCGCGUCCGAGAAGGAGCCCAAAAUGCCUGGCCCGCGAGAGGAGAGUGAGGAAGAGGACGAGGACAACGACGAGGAGGAGGAGGAAGAGAAAGAAAAGAGUCUCAUCGUGGAAGGCAAGAGGGAAAAGAAAAAAGUAGAAAGGUUGACCAUGCAAGUCUCUUCCUUACAAAGAGAGCCAUUUACAAUUGCACAAGGAAAAGGGCAGAAACUUUGUGAAAUUGAGAGGAUACAUUUUUUUCUGAGUAAGAAGAAAACAGAUGAACUUAGAAAUCUACAUAAACUGCUUUACAACAGGCCAGGCACCGUGUCCUCAUUAAAGAAGAAUGUGGGUCAAUUCAGUGGCUUUCCAUUUGAAAAAGGAAGUACUUAGUAUAAAAAGAAAGAAGAAAUGUUGAAAAAAAUUAGAAAUGCCGUGUUAAAGAGCAUCUGUGAGGUUCUUGAUUUGGAGAGAUUGGGUGUAAAUAGUGAAUUAGUGAAGAGAAUCUUGAAUUUCUUAAUGCAUCCAAAGCCAUCUGGCAAACCACUGCCAAAAUCUAAGAAAACUCCCAGCAAAGGCAGUAAAAAGGAAUGGAACAGUUCUGGAAUGGCAAGAAAGGCGAAGCGAACCAAAUGUCCUGAAAUUCUAUCAGAUGAAUCUAGUAGUGAUGAAGAUGAAAGGAAGGGUCUUCAGAUGAUGAAGAUAAAGAGAGUGAAGAGGAGCCACCAAAAAAGACAUCUAAAAGAGAAAAACCUAAACAGAAAGCUACUUCUAAAAGUAAAAAAAAUGUGAAAAGUGCUAAUGUUAAGAAGGCAGAUAGCAGCACCACCAAGAAGAAUCAAAGCAGUUCCUUAUCGUCCGCUCCUUACUACCACACCACAAAAUCAGCACAGCCAAGCAAGGGCCUUCCCCUGUCCACACCUCUCAAGAAAAUGCCCAAGAAUCUGGACUCCAUGGGGACAGGCUUUCAGAACUCAGGGUGA